CCUGACUGCUAUCGGAUUGAUACUAAGCCAUGCGAGUCUUUGUAGUAAUACAAGGCAGACGGCUCAGUAACGCGUAGUCAACCUACCCUAUGGACGGGAAUAAUCUCGGGAAACUGAGCAUAAUACCCGGCGUACCACCAUUCCUGGAAUGGUUGGUGGUUAAAAUGAUUCGUCGCCGUAGGAUGGGACUGCGACCUAUCAGCUUGUUGGUGAGGUAAAGGCCCACCAAGGCGAUUACAGGUACGGGCUCUGAGAGGAGAAGCCCGGAGAUGGGUACUGAGACACGGACCCAGGCCCUAUGGGGCGCAGCAGGCGAGAAAACUUUGCAAUGUGCGAAAGCACGACAAGGUUAAUCCGAGUGAUUUCUGCUAAAGGAAUCUUUUGCCAGUUCUAAAAAUACUAGUGAAUAAGGGGUGGGCAAGUUCUGGUGUCAGCCGCCGCGGUAAAACCAGCACCUCAAGUGGUCAGGAGGAUUAUUGGGCCUAAAGCAUCCGUAGCCUGCUCUGUAAGUCUUCGGUUAAAUCUAUAUGCUCAACGUAUAGGCUGCCGAAAAUACUGCAGUGCUAGGAAGUGGGAGAGGUAGACGGUACUUGAUAGGAAGGGGUAAAAUCCUUUGAUCUAUCGAUGACCACCUGUGGCGAAGGCGGUCUACCAGAACACGUUCGACGGUGAGGGAUGAAAGCUGGGGGAGCAAACCGGAUUAGAUACCCGGGUAGUCCCAGCUGUAAACGAUGCAGACUCGAUGAUGCAUUGGCAUCUAGCCAGUGCAGUGUCGCAGGGAAGCCGUUAAGUCUGCCGCCUGGGAAGUACGUACGCAAGUAUGAAACUUAAAGGAAUUGGCGGGGGAGCACCACAAGGGGUGAAGCCUGCGGUUC
This 875-nucleotide ribosomal RNA is filed under the name uncultured archaeon. RNAcentral's name for it is "bacterial SSU rRNA". It matches the Rfam family "Archaeal small subunit ribosomal RNA", at positions 21 to 903 of the family's 1478-position model. The record is from RNAcentral.